AGUGAACGCUGGCGGUAGGCCUAACACAUGCAAGUCGAACGGCAGCACAGUAAGAGCUUGCUCUUACGGGUGGCGAGUGGCGGACGGGUGAGGAAUACAUCGGAAUCUACUUUUUCGUGGGGGAUAACGUAGGGAAACUUACGCUAAUACCGCAUACGACCUACGGGUGAAAGCAGGGGAUCUUCGGACCUUGCGCGAUUGAAUGAGCCGAUGUCGGAUUAGCUAGUUGGCGGGGUAAAGGCCCACCAAGGCGGCGAUCCGUAGCUGGUCUGAGAGGAUGGUCGGCGACAUGAGAACGGAAACAGGCACAAUACGACUACGAGAGGCAGCAGUCGGGAAUAGGAGACAGUAGGCGGAAGUAUGAUCCAGCGAUAGCACGUGGGUGGAGGAGGCCUUGGGGUUGGAAAGCCGUUUUGUUGGGAGAGAAAAGCAGCAGGUUGAUACGCCGCGGUUGUGACGGUAACCAAAGAAUAAGCACCGGCUAACUUCGUG
Molecule: ribosomal RNA, 492 nt
Filed under: uncultured bacterium
Lineage: Bacteria
Description: partial 16S ribosomal RNA
Rfam family: Bacterial small subunit ribosomal RNA
Source: RNAcentral